GCUCGAAUCAAACAAUUUUCGUUAAUUCAGCAGAAGCCUUCAGAAGGAGACAUGAAAAACCACUAUCUGCCUUGGAAGGCUGUUCUUCUGGUGAGCUUUAUAUUCUUCUUCUCCUCAUCGGUUCUCCUCCAAGCAUGGAGUGUGAAGACCGAUGUCCAUGCAGCCCAUGAUGUCCCUCAUUCGAGUCAGAAUGCAGUUCUCAUAACGAAAGAAGAUGGCCAUCGUGGAGAAGAAGAUUGGCUGGCCAUGGAUUAUACGCCGGCUCGAAGAAAGACACCUAUUCAUAAUUAGUAUAUAUAGUAUAUGCAAGUAAGUAGGGUUUGGAGUAAUUAUAUACAGUGCAGGAGGGAAUAACUUCCCCCAACUAGUAUUCUGGUUUUCCUUGGAAAUAAGUUAACUAUACUGGCAGUUUGCUUAUAAGCCAUAUUGGAAGUGUUGAUGGAAGAUAAGUUUAUGGUUGGUUGAAUAAGUUUUCAGCUAUUGUUA
This is a long non-coding RNA of Vitis riparia (riverbank grape), 486 nucleotides long. RefSeq lists it as uncharacterized. The transcript has 2 exons. The record is from RefSeq and is a predicted model, not a curated record. NCBI's taxonomy places the organism in Eukaryota, Viridiplantae, Streptophyta, Magnoliopsida, Vitales, Vitaceae.